ACUCCUACGGGAGGCAGCAGUGGGGAAUAUUGCACAAUGGGCGAAAGCCUGAUGCAGCGACGCCGCGUGAGGGAUGACGGCCUUCGGGUUGUAAACCUCUUUCAGCAGGGAAGAAGCUUAAUCGUGACGGUACCUGCAGAAGAAGCACCGGCUAACUACGUGCCAGCAGCCGCGGUAAUGCGUAGGGUGCGAGCGUUGUCCGGAAUUAUUGGGCGUAAAGAGCUUGUAGGCGGUUUGUCGCGUCUGCUGUGAAAACUCGGGGCUUAACCCCGAGCCUGCAGUGGGUACGGGCAGACUAGA
Molecule: ribosomal RNA, 300 nt
Filed under: uncultured bacterium
Lineage: Bacteria
Description: bacterial SSU rRNA
Rfam family: Bacterial small subunit ribosomal RNA
Source: RNAcentral